CGGCCGAGGCGCUUACCUGGUGCGCCGGACGAGCAAGCAGAGGGCCAGGAUCAGCAGGGCCGCGGCGAGGGCCAGGCCCGGGAGGCCCAACCGCUCCAGCGAAAAGCGGCCCGUGGCCGCGGACACUUCUCCUGCCAUCCGGCGCGCGCUAGGCCGCGGUGGGCAGCCCGGGGUCUGCCUGCGAACAGCGCGGUCGGCGACUCUGCAGCCUGCGGCGGCUUCUCUCGGCGGCGCCCCCUAGUCCAGGGCCGGAGAGGCUGGCCUGCCCGCAGCGCAGACAGGAAUGUCACCGUGGUCUCCCAAGCUGAAUGACAAAAGUUCGUGGACUGCCCCCUCCCCGCCUCUCCUCCACCCACGCGUACCGCCCCGUUCCCCCACCGUUUCCGACCCGGCAGCUUCUGGAAAACAGCGCCCUUGAUCCUCCCGGGCAGGAAGAAGGGCCAAGGAAGGGGUUAGAAGGGAAAGAGUUAGGAUUUCCCAAGAACCAGCCCUGAAGGCCUGGAGGUGGGGGAUUUCGCUUCUUAAUUGGACGGGAGCCCCUUGGGUUCCUCACUUCUUAGCCUGCGCCCUGCGGGAGGAGCGACUCUGCUUGUCCCUCAAGAUGCUUGUGAAGGUGCCUGCUGCGCUCUGACACCGGCGAUCUCUUAGAAUGAAGACCAUCCCUGGGCAAAAUUAUGAAAAAGUGGAAGGAAAGAAGAGAAAGAAGAAGAAAGGAAUAUAGGAUCUUCCUCAGCAUCAGUAAUUUCUUUGGAAAGAAUUGGGGAGAAAGAAGAUAUACAUCUUUAAAAGGAAAUUGCCACUACCUCGCUAACCCAACUCUACAAAUAUACCUGACUUCACAGUAUCCAAGCAAAGACAGAAUACAUAAUUUUUAAAUCUCCCGCCUUUUCUAGGACAGAAAAAUGUAUGAGAAAGGGAAAGACAAAAGCCCUAUCAAAAGCUUAUGGUGACUUGGUUAAAGAAGGUUGCAGGCACUGUGGUAAGAGUUUGGAUGGGUGAAACAUAAUCGUUUGUUUUGUAGUAUGAGAUAAGUUUGGUUGUGAGAUGGGGAAGUGGGAAAGGAAAACCAAACUGAACCCCUGACCACAGACUUAUUCUAGGCAGAUCAAUUUUAGCAAAAAAUAGAGAAAAUGAAAAUGGAUUUUCUUAUAUCUUUUACUGCCUAUGAAGUUCUUGGAAAACUAUCAUGGAUUCUUAUAGGCACAUGUACCCAUAGUUGACUAAUUUUUGGUGUAGAUGCUCAAAAACAUUAAAAGUAGCAAUAAAUUUUAGUAAAUUGAUGGCCCUUAAAAAAUAAAAUAAUUCAUGCAGAUAAUCCAAUAAUGUCCAAAAGUUAGAAUGAGAUGAAACAUAUUAAAAUAUCAAUGAAUAAUCACUUCUUAUUGAUUAAAAUAUGAAUUCACCAAUGAGAAUAAGAAAUGGGUAUAAAUUACACCUCACUUCUUUUUUUUUUUUUUUUUUUUGAGAUGGAGUCUCGCUCUGUCACCUAAGCUGGAGUGCAGUGGCGUGAUCUUGGCUCACUGUAACCUCCGCCUCCCAGGUUCCAUGAAUUCCCUACCUCAGCUUCCUAAGCAGCUGGGAUUACAGGUACCUGCCACUAUGCCCGGCUAAUUUUUGUAUUUUUAGUAGAGAUGGGGUUUCACCAUCUUGGCCAGGCUGGUCUUGAACUCUUGACCUCGUGAUCCACCCACCUCGGCCUCCCAAAGUGCUGGCAUUACAGGCAUGAGCCACCAUGCCCGGCCUUACACUUCACUUCUAUAAGAUAGAACAACAUGUAAUAGAAAGCACAAAAGUAAUUUUUAAAAAUUUUUGUUUUAAUUUUUUGCCAUUGUAAAUCCAACUUUUUAUAUUAAUAUAUUUAUCUCUGUCAUAUUCUCAACUAUUUAGAUUUAAGUUGUAAAUUACUAUUUAAAUUACUGUUCAAAUCUUAAAAGCAAGAAGUAUUUUUAGGAGUGGGGAUCCACUUAUUCACCCAUUCUGUUUCAUCAUUCAGCAAAUAGUUGAAUGCCUACCAAGAAUUAAGUACAGAGCCAGCACAGAGAAUGAAAUAGGGAAUUUAUAUAUGGUCCCUGCAUCCACAGAGAUACAGUCAAGAAUUCUUUGAUUGAAAGAAAAACAAACAAACAAAAAAAUGAAAAAACAAACCAAAAAAAUGAACUUAAACAAGAAAAUGCAAAAUACACAUUAACUUGCCAAAAUGUGACUCUUAGUUGCAGAAAUUUGAGGGCCCUGUUUUUUGAGGUGACUCCACUGGUUCAUCCAGCCACAAGCACCUUCCAUAGCUAUGUACUUUUCCCCUAAUUCAAUCAGAAGGUAAAUUCAAUUGACAUAGCUGUUUGGUGGUGUUUCCACCUCUGGGAAUGGGUGUGUGACUGUAAUUGGUAGCUCUGCAAUAAACAAAAGGAAAGAAGAUUUUUUAACGAUGAGGAUGUUGGGGGUGUGGAAACUGGUUCUUCUACUGGCAGAAAAAGGGAAAGUGUAUCAGGAGUAGGAACGUCCACUCUAGCUUUCAAUCAUAAGCCAAAAUCUCUCUCUGGUUCAUCUUAUUUAAAAAAUCAGCUUAGUUUCUCUUAGUCUAAAAUUUUAAACUCUGGGUCAAUCCCUACAAUGCUAUUUCACUUUUCCACUUCCUUCCCUUUCUCUUCUUUUUUGUUUCUCUUUCUUUUACUGCUAGCCAUAUGGUUCAGCUUUCCUUAAGAGAACUCAUGCCCAUAAUCAUAGUAAUACAGAAUGUAUUUAAAAAGUCAGUGUUGUAAUGUUUUUCUAUAAUUAUAAUAUUAAAAUAGAACUAUAAUAGUUUUCAGAUUUGUAAAAAAUAUUUUUCAGAUAUAUGUAUGUACAUACAUUUGCUACAUGUGAUGUACACAUGAAUGCUAUUCUCAUUGUGCAGCACAUCGUAUAGGGAAGCAGCUCAAUCACCAGUCAGCACCUGCAAUUUCAAGCCUCUACCCUGGUGGCCUAUUAAUGUUUAAGGUGAAGGAAAUGUCCUGUGGUAACUGGGGCUGUUUAAAAGAGGAAGGAUGGUGCCAGAGACUCAAUGCAACCCAAUAUAUAAAAGGAAUCCACUUUCCUUUUUACUGCACCCUAAGGACAUGCAGUGAUUUUUAUCUUGAUGUCAUUUUUUAAAUAUUUGGGGGUUUGGAGGUUUUUUGUUUGUUUUUUGGUGAUUUUCCUUUCUCUCUGUUAAUAACCACUUCAGUAGUCUAAAUUUCAGACAUUAAACUGAUAUUGCAUUCCUUGCUUUGAGGCUCAUAUUAAAGCCAUUGUUUUCUCUGUCCAUGGCAUCUUAAUAUGCGUGGUGUGUCUCUCCUGACUGGCGGCCAAAUUUCCCUCAGGCUCCAGUUCUAACUGCCGAUGGCAAACCUGUCCUGCCUUGCAGUCCCAGGGGCAUCUGCUCAGGCCUCAGUUUCAGCUGCUCUAGAAGCUGCCUGCCUGUCUGUUGGGGCCAGCCACUUCUCACAUCGUGCAUGGGUCUCAGUUGUCCCUGACUAACAUGCCUCUCGUCACUGUCCUCAAAAGGUUAUCCUUUUCAUACGAACUUUGGCUCAGUAUCCUCGUUUUUGUUUUUAGGCUUUUGACGAUGUGGUGCUAAGAUCUGCGAGUUUUUGAGUUUGCCUUUUGUCUGAUUUAAUUUCUUGUGACUGUGGCUGAAAAAAAGUUUUGAAAUCAGACAUGUUAGAAAACUCAGGAACAUUUGGGAUGCUCCGCCUUCAAAACAUAAAGCAAUUUUUAAUGCAAUAUGACUAAUUGAAGUCUUUGAAAUUAUGCUUCCUCAACCUUCCACAUGUAAUUUGUGUGAUUGUGCAUAGUAUAUGGUCGACACUUUAAAUCAGCCCAUUCCGAAUACACUCUCAAAAUUUGGUGAAAACUUCACCUAUUUGUUUUCACAAGAUGUAGUUUAAAAAAGACAGAAACGUCAUAGAAAUUAACAUUUCAUGACACAUGAGACAAAAGUUUUAGGCUCUUGCUGAACUCCAUGAGCUCUCUGCACAUGAGAACUAGUACUGCGUUGCUGGAUAUUUUCUUAGUGAAGCUACUGCUCGCCUCAGGUCCCUGCUACUCAGCAUUUCCAGAGGGGCCUUGAGAAGUGACAGGCCUAGAGCAUGAAUGCUAACUUGGCAGUAGUGACAAAGGGGUACUUGGAAGUUAUUCCGCGUUCAGAGCAGAGCACAAUCAAGAGAAUGCUUGAUUACUGGGGGGAAAAGAAGGUGAAAAGUGAGGUGUGCCAACAAAAUUGCCUAGGCCUUCUGGAUUUGGGGCACACUUUUUUGUUAAUUAUUUUUAAGAAAAAUCAUUCUCAAAUGAUAUUUCACCCUUUUCCCUCAUUUUUAUGAAAUUCUGCAUUUCGGUCAAUUUCAAAAAAAAAAAGAGUUAAGAGGAGGUAACUGUUGUCUCUGGAUCAUUGGUUCUCACAGUGCCAUAUUCAUAUAUUCUUGUGGAUAUGAGAGUUGUUAGUUUAAAGAAUUAAUGAAAAGAUGUCAAUUUUCAAUUUUCAAGGUGAAUUAACAAAGCAAGUCCUAAUCGAUGUGACUAUGGCUUUUGGUUGUUAGACAAGCAUGUCAUAUGUAUGUACGUAUGCCUUCAUUUCAUCCCUGUGCUCUCUUGUUUAAAUAAAUUCUGUUAAGAGAAAACUGAAAUGGCAGGAGCUUACCAAUGCCUGGGGGGGUGUGAAACGGCCCUCAUUCCCCAUAACUGUGGGAAAUCAUUCCACCAUGGGCCCAGACCAGAAUACUAGCUUUAGUAACUUGCACUAUUUUAGGUAGCAGUGUGAAGACUAGUCAUAGGUUUUGUUGCUGUAACUCAGAACUUAUUUAAAUUAUGAGACCCCGUGUUUAUCACUUGAUAGUAGAAUUAGAAAUGACUUGGCUGGGCACGGUGGCUCACGCCUAUAAUCCCAGCACUUUGGGAAGCCACGGCGGGCAGAUCACUUGAGGUCGGGAGUUGGAAACCAGUCUGGCCAACAUGGAGAAACCGCGACUCUGCUACAAAUACAAAAAAUCCCCAGGCGUGGUGGCGUGUGCCUGUAGUCCCAGCUAGUCAGAAGGCUGAGGCAGAAGAAUCCCUUGAACCCGGGAGGCGAAGGUUGCAGUGAGCCGAGAUUGCGCCACUGCACUCCAGCCUGGGCGACGGAGUGAGACUCCAUCUCAAAAACAGAAAUGACUUUUCUUUUGUCCUUUAUAACAUUUGCAAUUUCCAAAUGUCCUCAAUGAGUUUUUAUUUCUUAAAAAAAACGCAUUAAAAAGUAAUUAAAAAUUUAAAUAUCUAAUUCUAGGGUUAGGAGUCAAUAUUUAUAUCAAGGGUAGUUUAAUUUAGCUCAUAUGAGUUAAAGAGGAGGAAACAUUUGGGGAAUUGGCAUAUUGAGAGUAAGAAAGUUUCAAAAGAAGCAUACCAAAACACUAAUAGUGGCUUUUGGGGUUUAAGGUGAUUAAAAUAUAUUUUGUACUUGUCUGCAUUUUCCAAAAUUUCCACUGUUAGCACGUAUUACAUUUAUCAGUAGAGAAAAUUGCCUUUAGAAGCAUUGCUGAGCCCCGUCUGCAGCCCUAGGUGUCUGAUUCUGCUUUUAUCAAUGUUGUGGUUCCUUUCUCUUUGCACCACAGAGCAAAUAAAAAGCUUGAAACUGUUGCUACACCAUGUUGCUAUAAGAAAAGAAAAUGCAGAAAAAAUUUAGCCUUAUAGACGGCACUUAAGAAUGAAGAACAUAGAAAAACCACUUGCGUAAAGUCACUCACUCCAGGGAAGGAUCUUGCUAAGUGCUUAUUCAUUCCACCCCUUCAGUGAAAACAACAUUCUCCCAAAGCCUAAAAUUUCACAGUUGGAAGUCUUACUUAAAAAGUGCCAAUAGCUGUCAUUUCUACAUUUGAAUAAGGUUAGUCAUUGUUGCUUUUUUCCUAACACCUAAAUCACUUUAGUUCACUGAAGCUCUAGUAGUGUGGGCGUGGGAGUGGGACCAUGGAGGCAUUUUGCAGCGUGGCAUAUUCCAAAGCAGAGAGGAUAAAUCUGAACGGAGACUGUAGUGAAAGGCUCUGGGAGGCUGGGGGUAAGGCGUGUGCUCUAGGUACCUAGAAAUAAAGGGGAAGGCCUGGGAAAUCCUAGGAGACUUAUAGAAGCCACCUAUCAGAGGCAAACAUCACUUGCUUAGAGUCAAUCUGCCGGACGAUACAGCCUUGAGGACAGGAGGGAUAGAAAAAUUAACAAGUCUACAAGGGAUGAGCUCAGAAACACCAAGCAGAUCCAGAUAAACAAACACCCCCUCCAGGAUCCUUUACAGUCUGUUGUCUGAUACUUGAAUUGUAUGACUUUAUUACUUACCCAAGUAUAAUACUUCCAGC
This is a long non-coding RNA of Gorilla gorilla gorilla (western lowland gorilla), 6329 nucleotides long. RefSeq lists it as uncharacterized. The transcript has 3 exons. The record is from RefSeq and is a predicted model, not a curated record. Lineage: Eukaryota; Metazoa; Chordata; Mammalia; Primates; Hominidae.